RNAcentral lists this ribosomal RNA (194 nucleotides) under gamma proteobacterium P3. RNAcentral's name for it is "partial 16S ribosomal RNA". It matches the Rfam family "Bacterial small subunit ribosomal RNA", at positions 338 to 524 of the family's 1533-position model. Lineage: Bacteria; Pseudomonadati; Pseudomonadota; Gammaproteobacteria. RNAcentral also lists the same sequence under 3 other names. The record is from RNAcentral.
CCUACGGGAGGCAGCAGUGGGGAAUAUUGGACAAUGGGCGAAAGCCUGAUCCAGCCAUGCCGCGUGUGUGAAGAAGGUCUUCGGAUUGUAAAGCACUUUAAGUUGGGAGGAAGGGUUGUAGAUUAAUACUCUGCAAUUUUGACGUUACCGACAGAAUAAGCACCGGCUAACUUCGUGCCAGCAGCCGCGGUAAU